AUCAAUCAAGCAGUUAAGCAAAUUAAAUCACAACUCAGAAAUCACAACUGAAGGUAAUCAAUUCAUAUUACAAAUAUAUUCAUGGCUUUGAAUUAACCUCUAGCCAAAAUAAAUUUAGUUACACAUUAUUCUCAAAUUAAACCAAAAGUUAAACAUGAGUUUGAGAAGAUAAAACCAAGAAAAAUGGAGUGAAGCCUCUUCUUUUCUCCUUCUGCUCCCUGCCGUGCCUGUCCCUUCUUUCUUUGCCUUCCGUCAGUCUCUCCUAUCUCUCUGCCUUCUGCGCCUUCUGUGCUCCCUCUCUCCCGCACGUCUUCUCUACCUUGGUUCCCCCCUGAUCUACCUUUCACGCUGCCAAAGGCAGCUUUUAUUCUCCUCCCGUCACUCCUCUCUCUCUGCUGUCCUUCUUUUUUUUCUGUCCCGCACUGACUUUCCUUUUUCAUGCUUGCUGUUCUCCUGACCUCUGACCUUGCCUUAUUUUUCUAUUUUAUUAUUUUCUUUUCAAACCACCCUCCACUCUCUCCACUCACUUCCUUUCUUUUUGCUUUACUUCCAUCCCAUUAUUUGCUGUCUGCCGUGUCUCUCUUCUUCUACAAAACAUGAAUCAUGAUGAUGUUUCAAACAUCAUCAUGACUUAUCAUUAUUAUUUUUCUUUUUUUAAUUUUAUUUAAAAGCUGAUCUACACAGACAGUUUUGACGAAUUUAUUACAUAAAAUUUCAUUUGUUCUAUUUUUAUUUUCUUUGCAUAACAAAUCCUACAAACACAAAAAUAACGUAAAUAGCUCAAAAAUAUAAGGAACUAACUCAGAAAAGACGAGUGAAUUCGAAGUAAAAAUAUAUAUAAAUAUGAUCCGAUCAAAUACCCCCACACUUAACUUUUGCUAGUCCUCGAGCAAAACAAAGAAAACAAGAACAAGAAGUAACAAGAAAAACAUGAGCUUCCCCCUAUGUGACCCUCAUAGAAUUUCCUUUAAGAAAACAAAUCAUCAAGAACCAUAGUUAGCACCAAACAAGCUAAUCUAAGUGCAUCUUCCUUAUUAAAAUAUUAGCAGUAAUCUUUGAAUCAUCCAUGAAGUGUAGUGUGUGAGAUAGCCAUGCUAAUGCAAUUUCAAGUUUUUUAUUUUUAAAAUCAUCAUAUGCAAACUAGCGACCAUCUCACGGGAUAUGCACUCAAUCACACAUGUGUUUAGUUUUAAUGUGUUUCGCUCAAAGAAUCAAAUGUGAAAU
This 1224-nucleotide long non-coding RNA is filed under the name Malus domestica (apple). Its description in RNAcentral is "long non-coding RNA (MDOM_LNC012559)". The record is from RNAcentral. Lineage: Eukaryota; Viridiplantae; Streptophyta; Magnoliopsida; Rosales; Rosaceae.